This 253-nucleotide ribosomal RNA is filed under the name uncultured bacterium. Its description in RNAcentral is "partial 16S ribosomal RNA". It matches the Rfam family "Bacterial small subunit ribosomal RNA", at positions 524 to 776 of the family's 1533-position model. The record is from RNAcentral.
UACAGAGGUGGCAAGCGUUGUUCGGAAUUACUGGGCGUAAAGCGCGCGUAGGCGGCUUUGCAAGUUAGAGGUGAAAGCCCAGGGCUUAACCCUGGAAUUGCCUUUAAAACUGCAUCGCUAGAAUCGUGGAGAGGUGAGUGGAAUUCCGAGUGUAGAGGUGAAAUUCGUAGAUAUUCGGAAGAACACCAGUGGCGAAGGCGACUCACUGGACACGUAUUGACGCUGAGGUGCGAAAGCGUGGGGAGCAAACAGG